UAAUAUGAGGCAGGCAUAACCUGUGAAUGGGGACGAAGUCUGCAUUAUGUAUUAUUUUCUUAAUAAACAUAUUUACACUUUUGGUAUUUAGCUGUAUUUUGCCUCCGAAUGACCUAACAUCACCUCCGAAUAACCUUUUGACGUCAAGCAACAAUCCCUUUUUAGUUGUGACGUCAUAUGUUUUGAAUUAUGAAGUCAAAGUUUACGGGAACCUGUGUGAUGUUAUGUAAUGGCAGACAAAUUUGCAUACAAGUGUAAAUACGUCUAUUCAAUCAUGUUGAUAAAAGAAACCGAAAUACCGUACGUAACGUUCCCGAUUUUGGUUCUGUUGUUAGGGAAUUAGCUGUGACGUUCUUUAAGUUAUGACGUCAUAUUCGAUGUAAACAAAAGACAAGCUUUCAUCAGGUAACGUAACGUGUUUUUUUCAUAUCAAACAAUUAUUAAAAUUGAAUUUGUAUUGAGAUCCAAUCUUAUGUUUUACUAGACUGAUAAAUAUUAAAAAAAAUCAAAGUCUCAUGCAAACAAGACAGAUUUCUGCGCAAAUGCGGGAAAACCGGAACAGGAACUAGAUCUGAAAAAAAACGUUAACGAUUUUGAGUUCAUUAGUACAAUGAAAAAUUCGGGAAAUUUUCCCAGAUUUUUUUUUUUUUUUUUUUUUUUUUCAUUGAUUUUUCUACCGUAAUUGGGGACUUCGUCCCCAUAUUA
RNAcentral lists this long non-coding RNA (705 nucleotides) under Mytilus galloprovincialis (Mediterranean mussel). The record is from RNAcentral. Lineage: Eukaryota; Metazoa; Mollusca; Bivalvia; Mytilida; Mytilidae.